RNAcentral lists this ribosomal RNA (374 nucleotides) under uncultured bacterium. Its description in RNAcentral is "bacterial SSU rRNA". It matches the Rfam family "Bacterial small subunit ribosomal RNA", at positions 524 to 898 of the family's 1533-position model. The record is from RNAcentral.
UACAGAGGGUGCGAGCGUUAAUCGGAGUUACUGGGCGUAAAGGGCGCGUAGGCGGUUUAUUGAGUGUGAUGUGAAAGCCCUGGGCUUAACCUAGGAAGUGCAUCGCAAACGAAUAGACUGGAGUAGAUGAGAGGGUGGCGGAAUUUCCGGUGUAGCGGUGAAAUGCGUAGAGAUCGGAAGGAACGUCAAUGGCGAAGGCAGCCACCUGGCAUCAUACUGACGCUGAGGCGCGAAAGCGUGGGGAGCGAACAGGAUUAGAUACCCUGGUAGUCCACGCUGUAAACGAUGAUAACUAAAUGUUGAUAGGGGAACCUCUCAGUAUUGAAGCAAACGCGAUAAGUUAUCCGCCUGGGAAGUACGGCCGCAAGGUUGAA